CUGGUGAAAACAACAGUACUGGGAGUUAGUAGUGUAGCUACAUUCUGCAUAAUGCACCAAAUGCAAAGGAAAGGGCUGUAGGAUGUUUUUAUCCCAACUAUACAGUUAUUGUUGGGACGGUUUGCAAUGUCUUGAACCCCAAAAAAGUAGUUGAGCUUAAUAUUUGCUAACAAUAUGCUAGCAUCAACAUGAGGUAACACCAAAUAACUGCAUUUAGACAAACACUUAGGACUCCGGCCAAAAGGUCAUGACAAACAAUUAAGACUCCGGCCAAAAGGUCAUGACAAACAAUUAAGACUCCGGCCAAAAGGUCAUGACUAACAUUAAGACUCCAGCCAAAAGGUCAUGACAGUACCAGAUGACAAAAAUUAAAACUUUUUGUAGUAGUGUCCAGCAAAUCACAUCAAACAUGUAAGUUGAGAUUAUAAAUUGUGUAAUGAGGCAAUACAAACAACUGUAGCUCAUCGAGAGUGCAAGGGCAUGGAAAUAACUCAUUUACUAUUGUAUAUACAGCACAACAGAGAAGAUGUAAAGGAAUGAAAUGCUUUGAGAGCAC
RNAcentral lists this long non-coding RNA (556 nucleotides) under Hordeum vulgare. RNAcentral's name for it is "long non-coding RNA (HVUL_LNC007795)". The record is from RNAcentral. Lineage: Eukaryota; Viridiplantae; Streptophyta; Magnoliopsida; Poales; Poaceae.